GUCAUUGUUUCUUCUCCGAGAAAAGAAGUUGACGACCCGUAGGCCUUCCACCUCCACACGACAUUGCUCCAUUAGGCUUUCGCCCAUUGCGGAAAAUUCCCCACUGCUGCCUCCCGUAGGAGUCUGGGCCGUGUCUCACUCCCAGUAUGGCUGAUCAUCCUCUCGGACCAGCUACUGAUCAUCGCCUUGGAGAUCGGAAGAG
Long non-coding RNA from Triticum dicoccoides, 202 nucleotides. RefSeq lists it as uncharacterized. The record is from RefSeq and is a predicted model, not a curated record. NCBI's taxonomy places the organism in Eukaryota, Viridiplantae, Streptophyta, Magnoliopsida, Poales, Poaceae. The transcript is spliced from 3 exons.